This 495-nucleotide ribosomal RNA is filed under the name uncultured bacterium. Its description in RNAcentral is "partial 16S ribosomal RNA". It matches the Rfam family "Bacterial small subunit ribosomal RNA", at positions 28 to 507 of the family's 1533-position model. The record is from RNAcentral.
GAUGAACGCUGGCGGCGUGCCUAAUACAUGCAAGUAGAACGCUGAAGGAGGAGCUUGCUCUUCUGGAUGAGUUGCGAACGGGUGAGUAACGCGUAGGUAACCUGCCUGGUAGCGGGGGAUAACUAUUGGAAACGAUAGCUAAUACCGCAUGACAACAGUUAUUGCAUGAUAACUGUUUAAAAGGGGCAACUGCUCCACUACCAGAUGGACCUGCGUUGUAUUAGCUAGUUGGUGAGGUAACGGCUCACCAAGGCGACGAUACAUAGCCGACCUGAGAGGGUGAUCGGCCACACUGGGACUGAGACACGGCCCAGACUCCUACGGGAGGCAGCAGUAGGGAAUCUUCGGCAAUGGACGGAAGUCUGACCGAGCAACGCCGCGUGAGUGAAGAAGGUUUUCGGAUCGUAAAGCUCUGUUGUAAGAGAAGAACGAGUGUGAGAGUGGAAAGUUCACACUGUGACGGUAUCUUACCAGAAAGGGAUGGCUAACUACGUG